This 73-nucleotide transfer RNA is filed under the name Ailuropoda melanoleuca (giant panda). It matches the Rfam family "tRNA". From Rfam's summary of the family: Transfer RNA (tRNA) molecules are approximately 80 nucleotides in length. Their secondary structure includes four short double-helical elements and three loops (D, anti-codon, and T loops). The record is from Rfam by way of RNAcentral. Lineage: Eukaryota; Metazoa; Chordata; Mammalia; Carnivora; Ursidae.
GCCUGGCUGGCUCAGUUGGUAGAGUGUGUGACUCUUGAUCUUGAGGUGGUGAGUUCAAACCCCACAUUGGGUG